GUGGGUGUAGCUCAGCCGGUUAGAGCACCAGGUUGUGGCCCUGGUGGCCGGGGGUUCGAAUCCCCUCACUCACCCCA
This 77-nucleotide transfer RNA is filed under the name Nitrospirota bacterium. RNAcentral describes it as "Nitrospirae bacterium (bioreactor metagenome) tRNA-His". It matches the Rfam family "tRNA". Rfam says of the family: Transfer RNA (tRNA) molecules are approximately 80 nucleotides in length. Their secondary structure includes four short double-helical elements and three loops (D, anti-codon, and T loops). The record is from RNAcentral. RNAcentral also lists the same sequence under 1 other name. Lineage: Bacteria; Pseudomonadati; Nitrospirota.